GUGAAUCAUCAAAUUUUUGAACGCAUAUUGCACUCUCUGGUAUUCCGGAGAGUAUGCCUGUUUGAGGGUAAUUAAAAAGAAUCUUUAACCAAUUUUUUUUGGUCAAAGGAAGUGAGUUCUCCGCGUUUAUAGCGGUAGCUUGGACUAAAUGGUCACGUCUCAUGUAGUCGAGACGCGUAGUAAUAUUAUUUCGCGAAAUCUUCAUUAUGUGACUAUCAAGUUUUGACGCUUACAUAUUUGGUUUGUUUGCGAUCGAUACAAAU
Molecule: unclassified non-coding RNA, 263 nt
Filed under: Ambisporaceae sp.
Lineage: Eukaryota; Fungi; Glomeromycota; Glomeromycetes; Archaeosporales; Ambisporaceae
Description: partial contains 5.8S ribosomal RNA and internal transcribed spacer 2
Rfam family: 5.8S ribosomal RNA (bases 1-71)
Source: RNAcentral